AGCAGUUGCACGUUCGGCCUAGGCCGGUCGGGACGAUCCGCUCCAUCGCUUUCGCGUUACCCCUUGCUCGACAGUCGCGGUCCGCGGUGCGGCCCGUGUUCCAACCAACACUGUGUUUUUGAGGAGUAACGAGAUGUCUGAUCGUCAGACCGGUACCGUCAAGUGGUUCAACGACGCCAAGGGCUUCGGCUUCAUCACCCCUGAGAACGGCCAGGACGUGUUCGUCCACUUCCGUUCCAUCCAGGGCACCGGCUUCAAGUCGCUGCAGGAAGGCCAGCAGGUCUCCUUCAAGGUGGUGCAGGGCCAGAAGGGCCUGCAGGCGGACGAAGUCCAGCCGCUGUAAUUCCGGCUUCACCGGAUACAGGGAGAACCCGGCUCCGGCCGGGUUUUUCUUU
RNAcentral lists this small RNA (395 nucleotides) under Luteimonas sp. JM171. RNAcentral's name for it is "cspA thermoregulator". It matches the Rfam family "cspA thermoregulator". The record is from Rfam by way of RNAcentral. Lineage: Bacteria; Pseudomonadati; Pseudomonadota; Gammaproteobacteria; Lysobacterales; Lysobacteraceae.